CCCCCGGGACAGGGGGGCGUGCGCGUCCCCUCCGCUCCCCUCCCCCCCGGCCGGGCUCUCCUGGCUCCCCGAGGCGGGAGUUUCCAGGAAGAGCUCAGAGCGCGGCCGCACCACCGAGCGCACGGAGACAUCAAGUAGUCCCUCAGAGCGACCUUAUUAGAGAAUUCUAGCUGCCAUGGGCAGUCAGAGUCGCAACGCCGAAGAGAUAGGGGGUGACAGCCGGCCUGAGGGCCUCAGGGAAAGAGGUCCGAGCUCCCACUUUGCAUUGCCGGAGAAAGACGUGUGGGGGAGGCGGAACGAGUUCCGGCGGAGGGCUCGGGCGCGCCCGGUGGAGUGAAGCGCCGCGCAGUCGAAGCGCUCACGGAGUUAAAGUGGGCGGGAAAACCCGGAACGGACUCUCCCUGACACGCCCAGGACCUCCCGUCCCAUUUUUCGUGGGGGAGGGGACGAAAAAAAGCAACGGAGAGAAACGUGUUUCCUUUCCCGGCUACCUAAACCCCCACUGGAGAAAAAAGUGACGACCCGCCACCACGGGAAGCUACAGGACAUUCACCAAGCCUUCUAAAGAUGACUUCUGGCUGCUGCUACUGACUCCAUUCUUUGUGGGAUCCUGGAAAUCAGCUAAUUAUCAUCAGUAUGAAGACUCCUUGUCUCCAAAUGGGAUAAUGGAAAAUAAUUAACUUGAACCAUAUGAAAUUGCUAGUUUUGUCACAACUGAAUAUCAACAGUUUUAUAUAUGGCUCAACCUAAUAGCACUUUAAUCACUCUGUUAUUCAUAGACCUGAUUUGGAAAAAUGAAGAAAAGAAAGGACUAUUCAUUUGAGGUACAGCAUGCAAGUUCUUCUAAUACCUGGCCCUCGGGGAAGCCUACAGAGAGAGGCGAUUUGGAAAACCCUGUUUUGGAACAGAGCUCCUCCUUAAUAGCUCCCCAUGGAAGAGGGAUUCCUGCUACAAAUGACAUGACAUCAUUGGCACAGGGCUUGGGCUGGAGCAAAGCCUGCUGCUUCUUCCUUCUUGAGACUCUGACCUUGGAGGUUCAUGGCCUACAGCCCUAGGCCGACUUCAUCUCCUUGGUUUUCCUGGUUUCUGGAAGAAAAUGUGGCAAACAUUAUCACUGGCAAGUUCAUGCCAUGCAGCCUUAGCGAAAUUUGUUUCUCCUUUUUUUUUUUUUUUAAUACUUUUAUAAAUUUAACCUCUUGCCAACACAUUUCUAUCACCGUGUACUCAGCCUUACCUAUAUGAAGGCCUAAGCAGUAUGGAGACAAGAAUUUGUUUUCUUCUCUAUUUGAUUUUUAAAUUAUAAAUGACUCUAAUGCUGUCAACUGGUAAGUGUGUAGAGUUUAAGGUAAACAUCACUCCAACUUUUAUAAAGUUUAGGGUUUAAGAUAAACAUCAC
This is a long non-coding RNA of Neofelis nebulosa (Clouded leopard), 1396 nucleotides long. RefSeq lists it as uncharacterized. The transcript has 6 exons. The record is from RefSeq and is a predicted model, not a curated record. NCBI's taxonomy places the organism in Eukaryota, Metazoa, Chordata, Mammalia, Carnivora, Felidae.